This 404-nucleotide long non-coding RNA is filed under the name Sinocyclocheilus anshuiensis. RNAcentral's name for it is "lncRNA (ENSSANG00000022735.1)". Lineage: Eukaryota; Metazoa; Chordata; Actinopteri; Cypriniformes; Cyprinidae. The record is from RNAcentral.
GUACAUUUUGUUUUAGGCUGUUACACCGAUUAGCCCCCAGCGACAGAGAACUGUGGAGAAGAGAGAGAUAGUGAAACAAAUGAGUACAGAAGAGGACAGGUACCGCAGCUCCAGAUUUGCAUUACAGGCUCAGCUAAAUAGAAAUGAGCAAUGCAUGCUUGGAGAUCGUACCUCAGAAUCAGUCACUCCCACAGACCUGCAGAAACGACUGAGAGAAUUAAAGUCUCUGUGGGACGAGACAGAGUCUCUGUGGAAGGAGUAUGAAGUGUUGUGUAUGCAAUGUGUUCAGUACAACGAACGAGCUGUUGAGCAGGACCGUAUGGAGCUCACUGUCAGGUGGAGAGAGCAGAGGUCACAGUUACAGGGCAGGUAUGACCAUGUCAGACAUGACAUUACACUGACUU